AAUUAAAGAAAAAAAAAACUUAACAAUCAAGACCUUUCGUUGUCGAUCUUCCUCUGCUCACAUCCAGUAGACUCCAACACUGAAAACUUAACUGAGUUGUAACGCUUUCGUCGUCAUUGAAACCUUCUCAUAAAGUUUGGCCAUUACUCUCUCAUUCAAGCUUUCUCCCACGAUGUUGAUUUUAAUACCCCUUUCUUUCAUAACGUCCAUCGCCAACCCCUAAUUUCGAUGAAGGGAUGAAGAAAACUCGAACUCUCCUUACUUCACCAGAUUCAACCCUUCUUCUUCCUUACACACACAGAAAGUAAGAAUGGUUUCAUCUCAUAUUUUUCUUUUUAAUUUGAAUCCCGGUUGUUGCUCUCUAACAGUGGUGAUGUGUCUUCUGCAUUUCUGGGAAGCACAAAGUGUUAAGAAAAAAGGCAAGCUGAUGGGAGUUCACAUGCUUCUGCUUAAUGAGAAGAUUUGGCUCCUCUUUUUACCUUGACUUUGUAGUAACAAGAUUCGACAGAUCUGCACUUUCUCCUUUUCCCUUUAGGCUAUGAGUUUUUGAGCUAUGCAUCGUGGUUUAGAUUUCUAUUUCUUAUUUGUUUUCAACUGUUUAAGAAUCUCUCAAAAUUCAUUCCGCAAAGUCAAAAACUUUCUCCAGAUUUUCAGCUGAGGCCUUGCAACAACUUAAUCCUACAUUGAAGAGACUCUCAAGAGGCCCUUGCUGCUUAAAAAGCUUCUUGAAUAGGUCUUUGAUGCUCUCAAUGUUGACCUGGUUUUAACCGUUCAUUCUACUCAAUCCAAUCAUUGGCCUUUGCUCCAAAAGUUUGGGAGGUCUGUAGACCUUUUUCUGAAUGUCUAUGCUUCAUAAAUGAUGUGUUUUUUCAAUGUUAUCAGGAUAUGUGAUUGUUUUACAUAGUUAUAUGUAAAGAACUUUACUCCUAAUGAUAAAAAGAACUCAAUGAAGCUCUGCAACAAGAGAUUCAAGAUGCUUUUCUCAAGGAUGAAAGCUGAAGAAUUCCAAUUUCCACCUACACCACAAGAUGAAAUGAGUGCGGGUAUGAGCUACUUCCAUGAAACAAGCUGGAAGGAAGUUCUGAAAUUCUUGAGACGUGAUUACACGGCUCUGAAGAACAUUUGAAUCAACGAGAUUUUUCUUCUUGCAUGGGUGGAGACCAUGAUGGUUCACUCUUAUUUCUUUCUUUUCUUAGAUCAUGAAAAGACAGAAUUGUUUUAACUGUUCACAUUUUUGAAUCCAUGAAACCCCCAGGUAAAUGAAGUUACAAAAAAUAUAUGCUUACGAGCCUGGUUCGAGGUGGGGGAAUCGGUUCACUAACGGUUCUGUAUAUAAAUGGCAAAUUGAUUAAAGGGGUGUUAGUGGGAUAUGGAUUUGUAGUGAUUGUUAAAAUUCUCAAAUUCUAUUGUUAUUGGUUGGUGGAUUCUAAGAUUCUUACUAAAAUCUAGUGUUAUUGGUUUGAUGAUU
Long non-coding RNA from Brassica napus (rape), 1468 nucleotides. RefSeq lists it as uncharacterized. The record is from RefSeq and is a predicted model, not a curated record. The transcript has 3 exons. Lineage: Eukaryota; Viridiplantae; Streptophyta; Magnoliopsida; Brassicales; Brassicaceae.